UAAUGCUGAAAGCAUAAGUAAGGCGUUUGAUUUGAGAAUUUGGGUAUGUGUAUCCGAUGAUUUUGAUAUUACAAGAUUAACAAAAGCCAUUAUAGAGUCCAUUGAAGGAAAGUGCAGUAUAGAAGAACUAGAUCCCCUGCAAAGACACCUACAAGGAAAACUAAUUGGGAAAAGGUUUUUGCUUGUAUUGGAUGAUGUGUGGAAUGAAUAUCACGAAAAGUGGGAAGGAUUGAAGGAAGCAUUUAGAUGUGGUGCGAAAGGAAGCACAGUUAUAGUCACUACCCGUGUCGAGAAAGUUGCCCUUAUGAUGACAACUACUCCUAUACACCACUUGGGAAGUUUGUCCUGUGAUGAUUCUUGGUCCUUAUUCAAGCAGCGUGCGUUUAGGAUGGGAAAGAGCGAGGAUUACCCACUCUUAGAAGCACUUGGAAAGGAAAUAGUUAAGAAGUGUGGAGGGGUGCCCUUAGCAAUAAAGGCUUUGGGAGGUUUGUUGCGUUUCAAAGAAAGAGAGAGUGAGUGGCUAUCGAUCAAAGAAAGCGAGAUGUGGGAAUUGGCAGAUGAGGGGAGCAAAGUCUUAUCUGUGUUGAAUUUGAGUUACAGACGUCUAAAACCGCAUUUGAGACAAUGUUUUACAUUUUGCUCUAUAUUUCCCAAAGAUUAUGUCAUGAGUAAAGAGCAGUUGAUACAACUUUGGAUGGCUAAUGGCUUUGUUCCUUCAAGAGGACAAAUGAAUUUGCAUGACGUGGGGUGUGAAAUCUUCAAUGAAUUAGCUUGGAGGUCCUUUUUCCAAGAACUCGUGGAGGAUAUUGAAGGAAAUACAACAUGUAAAAUGCAUGACCUUAUCCAUGAUCUUGCACAAUCAAUUAUGAGUUGCGAGUGCUCUGUGACUGAACCAAGUCAGCUAGUGUUGACUGCGCCCAAAACAGUUCGUCACAUGUUUGCUUCUGGUAAUUCGUCUAUAUUUGCUCCUUCAAAUGUGGACAACCUACCCAAAGUCUGUUCCUUGCGCACAUUGAUUGUACGUAACAACUUCCAUUGGAGAAUUGCAACUAAACAGAAGCAUCUGAGGGCAUUAGACGUUAUAUUUAAUGGAGGAAUGAAAAUCUCAAUUGAUGAUAAUUUCAGACAUCUAAGGUAUCUGAGCCUUGUUAAUUCUGAAAUUGAAACACUGCCAGAAUCAAUAUGCAGCUUCCACAAAUUGCAGACACUAAAUCUGGGAUUUUGUUAUCAGCUUCGCAAAUUACCCAAAGGUUUGAAGCUCUUGAAAAAUCUUACAUAUUUAGACAUAACAUAUUGUAAUGCACUUACUUGUAUGCCUGUUGGCCUGGGGCAAUUGUCUUGCUUGCGUAGGCUGAGCAAGUUCGUUGUGGGAAAGGACCGUGGCUGCUGUAUAGACGAAUUAAAAGGGCUGGCCCUUGAGGGAGAGCUUUGCAUUGAAGAACUUGAUAAUGUAAAAAGUUCAAUCGAUGCUAAAAGUGCCAAUCUGAUAAUGAAGCAAAAUCUAAGAUCACUACGCUUAUCUUGGCGCGAAAUCGACAAUUGUUACCUACAUGAAAAUGCUGAAGAGGUUCUUAGUGGUCUCCAACCUCAUUCAAGUUUGAAGGCGCUAAGCAUACGAAAUUACCAUGGUCCAAAGUUUUCAUGUUGGUUGAUGGAUCUCCUUGUUCCAAACCUAGUUCACAUCACACUGCAAAAUUGUGAAAGAUGUGAAUGCCUUCCACCUUUUGGUAAAUUACGCUUCCUCAAGUCCCUUACCGUUACUGGAAUGGAUGCUCUAAAAUCUAUUGAUAAUAGCUUCUAUGGAGAUGGCGAGAGUUCAUUCUCGUCACUGGAGAGUCUCUGUUUCGAGCAUAUGCUUUCUUUCGAGGUAUGGACGACAGUGAAUGGGAAAGAAAAUUUUCCACAGCUAAGAUCAUUAGUUAUAAGAGAUUGUCCUAAGCUAGUUGAAUUGCCAAUGCUUCAAUCUCUGAAAAGAUUAGAAAUUAGAGAAACCAGCGUCUCAUUACUUAGGUCCGUGAUGCAUUUCACUUUUCUCACCUCUCUCUUACUUGGCGGCUUUGAUGGCUUGACGGUUUUGCCAGAUGGACUAUUGCAAAAUUACAAGCACCUUGAAAGCUUGACAAUAUGUUCUGAUAAUCUGAAAUCUCUGUCAAAUCUUCUAGAUAACCUAUCUGCUCUCAAGAAAUUGGAUUUUCAAAUCUGCCUAGUGCUUGAAAGUUUUCCCACAGGACUAGAAAACCUGAGCUCUUUAGAGAGUUUGCAUUUAAUUCAGUGUGACAGCCUUGUCACCCUUCCAGAAAAUGGAUUGCGUGGUUUAUCUUCCCUUUCUUCGCUGUGGAUUCAAGGUUGUAAGAAAUUAGCCUCUUUGUCUGAUGGGUUGAGAUAUCUGACUUCGCUCCAAGACUUACUCGUCAACGGAUGUCCAAAGUUAAACUCAUUACCGGAGUGUAUCCAACAUCUCUCUGCACUUCAGAGUAUGAGGAUUUGGAAUUGUGAGAGAUUAACUUCUCUGCCAAAUGGGAUAGAAAACCUUGCCUUGCUUUCAGAAUUGGAGAUCAUGCGUUGCGAUAAUCUAAUGUGUCUGCCUCAAGGGCUACAGAGUCUCACGGCACUCACAAAAAUGAGGAUUAUAGGAUGCCGACAUCUGGAAAGGCGGUGCAGGAGAGAGAGAGGAGAGGAUUGGCCCAUCAUAGCCCACAUUCCUUCUAUUGUAAUCAUGUCUGGUGAAGAGUACGUUUUUCGAGGACGAGGAAGGCCUCUUGGCAAUCGGUUAACAAGGUGAUUUAUCAAUUUUUAGUUUUAUUUAUUCAUUUAUUUUAUUCGACUCCGUUCGAGAAGCUUUAAGCUAGUCAUUGCUCGAAUGCUAUGAUUAUCUUCUUCAAAUGGUUAAAUUUAUUGAUCCUGCCUUGCAGAGCACACCAUAUAGGAUAUGACCAUUGCAAUCUAUGUAUAAAUUAUUUCGAUCUUUUUUGCUUUUUAUGUCUUUGUUUUUUGCUAAGAUUUUGAGGUUGAAACAAACUUGAUCUACAAUACAACAGAAUAAGAUACGACCAUUGCAAUCUAUGCAUCAAUCUUUGUACCGGUUACUUAAUAGCUGCAACAUUCAUGCCGUAAUGCAUUGGUCCUUCAUAAGGAAUGUUGCCAUUCGAUGAAUUUAAGAUAUAUUACUCUGUCUAAAUAUAUUUUCAGGGUUGGGGAUUGGACAAAUGGGCUCUUCAGAAAGUUUUUGAAAUCUUAGCCCAAUGUACGAAUAACAUGGAAGAAACCUGAUGGGUGAGAUGAAUUUCACAAUGGUGUGGAGUAUCAGAGUUGCGCAAUGCAUCAAAGUUGUGCUCUGUAAUUCAACAUUUUCUGGGAUGUGUACUGUUGCCUUCACUUUAAUUGGUAUGUUUUAUUGUCUUUUGUACACUGCAUUAGAAUCAUGGUGCAUCAAGGAUGAUUGUAAUAACUGAAAACGAGCAUUUCCUUCAAAUUGGUCUUUGAUGAUUAUACAAUCAUUUUAGGAUGUCAAUAUGCAAGUUUGAUUACUUAUAUACUAAAGUGAUUGUGUUAAAUUUGUGAUGUACUCUAGAGCACACUACUAUUCAUGUUCAAUUUAACAUUGAAUUUGGGGUACCUUGAAUUUGAAUUUCUGUAUUUUGGACUUAGAGCUUGUUUGGCUUAGUUUUUUUUAACUUAAAAACUAUUAUUAAGCUCUUAUGAAAAUAAUAGAUUUAAAAAUUAAACUAAAAUUGUUUGGUAAACUGUUUAACAAAAUAAAUUAUAUAAGUUCUAAUUUUGAUUAAAAUUAUCAUAAAGGGUAUUCAUGCCAUCUUCAAUCACCUAAUAUGCUAUAAUGUAAUGCUUUAAGUUUAUAUAUAAUUUCAUAUGUUAAAAUCGAAGAAAUCAAUAAAAAAAAAGAAUAACUUUCAAACUUGUAUAGUAGCAAUAGUAUUGGAUUUUUGUUGAUUUAACAAGCAAUCAAACCAUAACGCUUCAAUUUCAAAAAAAGAAGAAAAAAGAGGAAACGAUGUAUUUAAUAUUAAAAUCUUUUUUAGUGAAAAAGAGAAAAAAAUCUUUAAAUAGUAUCUGAAUGCAGUUUUGAAUUUUAGAUUUUUUUUCUCUCAAUCUUUGUAAGAAUAAAAAAAUUCUAGAUUUUGAUAUUUUGUUGUUGGGUUUUUUGUUUUUAUUUUUUGUAGAGAGAGGUAGAGAAGAGGGAAAUCGUGAUUUACAUUGAAGAAUGGUAAUUUGUAGAGGGAAAGAGAGAAGAGGGAGAUUAAUUGAGAGAGGGGUAUUUUCAGAAAAUUAAUGUGUUUUUAAAAGAAGAGAAGAAAAAGCUCCUCCCUGGAGCUUUUUUUUAAGCUCUUUUUUAAAAAAAUUUUGUUCUUAAAAAAAGUUAUUUUUUUUAAAAGCUUCUCAAAAGAUCAAGUUUGGCCUGACUUUUGCUUUUAAGAAGUAGAUAAGUUGAAAAAAAGUUAGGCCAAACAUGCACUUAACCUCAUGAUCCUUAUUUUCCUUUUAUUUCUAAUAUAAAAGAGUAUUAGCAAAAUUUAGUCUUUAAAAAUUUGCAGCUUUCCUUCUUUGCAUUAGGUUUCUGCAAGCUCUGUUUGCAACAAGUUUCGACAACAUUUUAAUCCUUAGUGUUUAACUCUAUUUUGAAGAAAUCAAUUCAGCUGCAACUUAUUUCACCUGCAACUUAUUUCACCUGAAACAAUCAAAAGAAGAGAAAAAAAAAAAGGUAGGGAAACUUUGAGACGUAGACCACUUGAGAAAGCUUGGAGGGUAAUAUAAAGUGCGUUUUGGUUGGGGAUAUUAAUAGAGUUCUUCAGGUCCAUCAUUUAGGAACUAGAAGGAUAAAAACAAUUGCAUAAAUAGGUUUGGUCAAACAGGCAGGAUUGUUCUUCAUGGAAAACCUUUUUCUUAACCAACUUUGAAUAAUAUAUGCUUUUAAGUGCAGAGGACCAACGGGUGUGUUAUUGUUGAAUUUUGCAAAACUAAAUUUCUCAAGUCAUUAAAGAAACCAUACCAUGUAGGUAAAAGCUGAUCAAAUGGUCCAGUACAUUUUACUUAUGUUGAGCUAAGACUUGCAUUGAAGACCUCCUUAAGCAAGUCAUUAGCUAAGGGUCCAUGCUUUGUUGGAUAUUUUCAAAUAAAAGAUAUGAUUUCAUAUCUUAAUAGAAGGAAAAAUUGUAAUUGUUGGAAAUUAAAUUAAAAGAAGGGUUAUGUUUGUUGAAAAUAAAAAUAAAUAAAUAAAUAAAUAAAAUAAAAAAGAGAGAGAAUAAGAAAAAGAGUUAUGUCUGUUGGAAAAGACCAACAUGAUCAACUCUUUGAAACAGACACAAAUAGUGUCUAUUGGGAAUAGGCAUUUAUGCCUAUAAAAGAGACUCUUUUUAUCCAACAAAAACGUACAUCAGAAAAACAAAAACUUUUCUUCCUUUCUCAAAUUUCUCAAGUUUUCUUCUAUACUAUUUUCUUAUAGAAAAAUACUAUAGAAGUUUGAUAAUCUUGUUAUACUCUGGUGAGUCAAUGGAUUGAUUUCGUCAAUGCAAAACGCCGUCAAUCAUUGGGUUCGUUGUAUCUUCGAGGUUUAUACACCGGUAACUCUUUUGUACACUAUAAGUGGGGGCCAACAAAACCUCAAGGACAGUGGCAUUGAUACACGCCUUGAAGCCAAUUUCUAAGUUUUCAGUUUGGUGUUUUAACAAUCUUAAGGUUUUAUUUUGUUCCAACAAUGGCUGCUGCAAGUGAAACACUAAGAGAAUUAGCUUCCGACUUUGUAAAAUUGGGCUGGUUUGAUGGUGGCAACUUUCUAAGAUGGCAAAAGAAGAUGCAUUUCCUACGAUCAGCCUUGAAAGUUGUCUAUGUUUUGACUACACCUAGACCAGAAAAAGGAGAAAACGAAUCUGUUGCUGCAACGAGAGAAAGGCAAAAAUGGGACAAUGCUGAUUAUAUGUGCAAAGGUCACAUCUUGAAUGGUUUGGUUGAUGGCUUAUUUGACACAUACCAGAACGAGGCUACUGCGAAAGAUUUAUGGGACAAACUCAAAGCCAGGUACAUGACAGAAGAUGCAACAGGUAAGAAAUUUCUAGUUAGUUGCUUUAUUAAUUAUCAAAUGGUUGAUGGGUGUUCUGUUAUAGAACAACUAUGAGAAAUUGAAAGAAUGCUUAAUCAGUUUAAACAAUAUAAAAUGAAAAUGGAUGAAACUAUAGUUGUAUUCUCUAUUAUAGACAAACUUCCUCCAUCAUGGAAAGAUUUUAAAAGAAGUCUAAAACACAAAAAGGAAGAAAUAACUCUUGAGGCUUUGGCAAAUCAUCUUUGAAUUGAAGAAGAAUAUAGGAAACAAGAACAAGUUGUUGUUUCUAGUGACGCCAAAGUACAUGUUGUGGAGGAAAGACAGACCACUAAACCUGCCAAAAAGAAGUUCAAGCAUAUUGCUAAUGGUUCGAAAUUCAAAAGACAAAAUAAAAGCUCAUGUUUCUAUUACGAAAAACCAGGACAUUUUAAGAAAAAGUGUCGAUUAUUGAAGAGGAAAAAUAAUUCUUCAAAAAGAAAAGUUUCUGAAAAUUUUAUAGCCAUGAUUCCUGAAAUCAAUGUGCUUGAAGAAAAUGAUGCUUGGUGGAUUUAUUCAAGAGCAACAAAACAUGUGUGCAAUGACAAGAGUCUUUUCAAGAGUUUCGUACCAAGUGAGUGUGAAAAUUUUCUAUACAUGGGAAAUUCUUCUACAGUAAUGAUUAAAGGCAAAUGGACUGUUGAACUUGAAUUCACUUAUGGAAAAACUUUUACUUUGAAAGAUGUACACUAUGUUCUAAAAGUUAGGAAAAAUUUAGUGUCUAGAAGUCUAUUAAAUAAGUUUGGUUUCAAGCUUGCAUUUAAGGCAGAUAAAUUCAUUUUGUCCAAAGGGGGAAUUUUUGUUGGGAAAAGUUAUAUGUGUAAUGGAAUGUACAAAUUAAAUAUUGUUAAUAAUAAUAAGAAUAAAACAGUUGUUUCUCAUUGUAUGAUUGAAUCUUUUUAUUUAUGGGAUUAUAGAUUAGGACAUUUAAAUUAUAGAAGAUUGGAUGACAUGUAUAAAAUGGGCUUAAUUCCAAAUUUUAAUCCAAAUAUUGAUAAAUGCAAUACAUGCAUGCUAACAAAAAUAACUAGAAAUCCUUUUCCUAAAGUUAAAAGAAAUACCAAAUUACUUGAAUUAAUACAUAGUGAUGUGUGUGAUAUGCAUAGUACACCUACAUUAGCUGAAAAGAAAUAUUUUAUCAUAUUCAUUGAUGAUUUCUCUAGAUAUUGCUAUGUAUAUUUGUUGCAUUAUAAAGAUGAAGUGCUUGAUAAAUUUAAGGUUUAUAAAUCAGAAGUUGAAUUAUAAUGUGAAUAUUUUAUCAAGUGUUUAAGAUUGGAUAGAGGUGGAGAAUAUUAUAGUUCAAGUUAUUUUGCCUCCACUAGAAUAAUUCAUAAUAUUUCAGCACCUUACACACCACAACAUAAUGGUGUAGCAAAAAGGAAGAAUAGGGUCUUGAUCGAAAUGGUAAAUGCUAUGUUAUCAUGUUCAGGUCUUGGAAAAGGUUUUUGGGGAGAAGCUUUGUUAAUAGCUUGUCAUAUAUUAAAUAGAGCUCCUAUAAAGGAAACUAAAAUGACCCCAUAUAAGCAAUGGAAGAAAAGGAAACAAAACCUUAGUUAUAUGAAAGUUUGGGGAUGUAGAGCUGUAGUUAAAGUUUCGAAACCCAAAAGAAAGAAAUUGAGUGAAAGAGGAAUAAAAUGCAUAUUCAUAGGAUAUGCUUAACAUAGUAAAGCAUAUAGGUUCAUGGUAAUUGAACCAAAUGAUUCAAUUCCAAUCAAUACUGUUAUUGAAUCAAGAGAUGCAAUAUUUAAUAAAAAUAGAUUCAAAUCUAUUUUAAAGCAACUACAGCUACUACAAUCAAUUCAAUCAAAUGUCAUUCCAUUGGAACAAAAUGAAAAUAAUGAUGAAUCUAGACCAUAAAUAAAUAAAAGCAAAAUGGCUAGAAAGGUAAAAGAUUUUGGUCCAGACUUUUAUAUGUUCCUUGUAGAAGGAACAGUAGAAAAUAUUGACAAGAAGAUUGCUUAUUAUUUUAAUUUAGAGUCAGACCUUGUUACAUAUGAUGAGGCAAUGAAGUCUCAAGAUUCUACAAUUUGGAAAGAAGCAAUCAAUGAUGAUAUGGACUCAAUAAUGGGAAAUAAUACUUGAAUUUUGGUUGAUCUUCCACUAGGUUCCAAACCAAUAAGUUGUAAAUGGAUUUUCAAAAAGAAAAUGAAAGUAGAUGAAACCAUAGACAAGUUCAAAGCAAGACUAGCAACUAAAGGCUUUACACAAAAACAAGGGAUUGACUACUUUGAUACUUAUGCUUCAGUGGUAAGAAUUGUUACAAUUAGACUUCUAAUCUCCCUUGGAUCAAUUUAUAAAUUGGUAAUUCACCAAAUGGAUGUCAAAACAGUAUUUUUAAAUGGUGAAUUAGAAGAGGCAGUCUACAUGGAACAACCAGAAGGGUUUGUUAUUUCAAGACAAGAGCAUAAAGUUUGUAAACUUGUCAAAUCAUUGUAUGAGCUUAAACAAGCACCAAAACUGUGAGACCUUGACCUUUAUAGACUCGUAGAUAGAAAUAUACGCGAUAUCCCUAAUCAGGGGUAAUUUCGUUAUUUUCUCAAUAAGCCCAUAAAAGUAAGUUUUAAACAAUAUUAUGGCUUAAGUAGGCAUAAAGCAUAAAUAAAUGAUGAGAAUAUGGGUGAAAUGACAAGGAAAUAAAAAUUUUGAUGAUUUUCAUGUUCUAGGGGCAAAAUGGUAAUUUUGUCACCCGAAGACAAAAUGGAAAUUUUUGAAAUUUUACACCACCUGACACUUGUCAUGCCCAUGGAUUUCAGCCAUUAACAUUUUACAUUGUGGAUAAUUGAAACAUUUUAUGUGGUGGAGAGAGAUUGCUUAAUGGAUAAGUAUUACAUAUGGACCAAUGGAAACAUGCCAUGUGUCAAGCUUGGAUUAUUCUAGAAUUUCUUUAUAAAAUCUAUUUAAAACUCUCUUAGUCUCACCCAUAUGACCGGCCAAAGCAUGAAGUGAAGAGGAAAGGAAAGAACACAAACCAUAGGUGGGAAAAUUGAAGAAAAAGUGUGGGAUUUAAAGGAUUAAGCUAAUUUGUGGAGGGGCAUUUUAGUAAUUUCCAAGGGAGUGGAUAAGCUUGGGCCAUAAAUAUCCUCUCCUUCUAGCAGCUUCUUGGGAUUUUCAGUAGCUUCCUCUUCUUGUUCUCUUCUUUCUCACGUUUCUUCAAUUUCUCCAUGGAAACUUGAUGUGAAGCUUUCAUAACUUUCUCUCUCCAGCUUUAAUUUUCAUACCUUGGUGCCCUUUUGACUAGAACCCUUGUAUUCUUCCACUUUCUCACUCUUAAAACCCUUGAAAAUGAUGAAAAUCUUGUUUCCAUAAUCUCUCACUAGUUAGGUUUUUUAGAGAGAGAAAAAGGAAGCUUUAUUAAUAGCUUGAGAGCUUUUGGAAAGAAGUUCAAAGUUUCAAAGCUAUCAAGGAGAGUAGUAAACUAGUAUUGGGUUUUAAGUGUUGAGAAUGACUAGAGAUUUGAUUUGUGAAUAUUUUGUAGAUGAGAUUGUUAAUUCACUUUGGAGUGAUAGGAAAGUGAAAAUGGAUGGCCAUUUAAAUGACAAUUGAAAGCUAGCUAAAAGAUAGCUUUUAGGGUUUAUAGUAUGUAAAUUGACAUUAUCAAAAUGUUAACUUGAUGAUAGGUGCUAACGAAGCCCCAUCACCCCAAUUGGAUCAUUAAGGGGAUUAAGAGUCGGCUAAAGGCUUAACGAGUACCGGUGAGUGGACUUGCAUUUCAAACUUGUUUUGGGGAGUAUGAAAGAUUCUAUCCAACUUGUCUUAGAAAAUGUACCUUGGGAACAAGCUUUUAGUAAAAUGAUUUUAUAUUGUGAAAAUGUGCUAUACAAUGGUUUAUGUGUAAUUGCAAUAUGAUAAAAUGCAUGAUAUGCAUUGGAUGCUUCUUGCAUGUUGAUGUGGACCCGACUAUGUGCGAGUAAGAGUGCACAUAAGCCGUUGUUGACCCGACUAUGUGCGAGUGGGAGUGCACAUAAGCCGUUGCUGACCCGACUAUAUGCGAGUGGAAGUACGCAUAAGCCGUUGCAUAUGACAUGAUGAUGAUGAGAGGGUGUACAUGAUGAUUGAUAUAUAUAUAUACAUAUAUGGUAUAUGGUUGUAAAUGGAAAUAUGUGAGCAUUUGAUUUGUUGAAAUUUGGGAGUUUACAUGUGUUACAUGUUGCUAUUGUUAUUUUAGCAGGAUGGCUUGUUUUAAAGGAAAAUGAGACUUUUUUCUUGAUGUUCUGACUCUCGCUGCAGUGAGAAACUCUCAAGUUUGAGGGCCUUCACCAGACCUGGUUCUCGCUGUAGCGAGAAUGAAGUUCGCUGCAGCGAGAAACUUUCUGUCCAUUUUGGCUAACUUGUGGGUUUUGCUAUAUUUUCGAUUCUUUGGUACCAUAGUUGAGUAUGGAUCUUUUAAGUGAUUUACUCAUGAGGGGUUUACAUGAGGGGUUCUACUAAGAACUAGAACAAAUUGCAUUGUUUUGAGAAAAUGAGUGCAUCAUGAUUUCGAUAAACAUUCCUUAUGGUAUGCUUGUUCCCUUCUUGUUCAUUCACUGAGUUUAUGCUCACCACUUUCAACUUCAUGUUUUCAGAUUAAGAGACAGCCGAUAUAUAGGACGAGGUGUCCUAUUGGACUUGUAUCCAUCUUUUAGUAGGUGUCUCGGCAUUCAGUAGCUGUACAUUCAUCCGAGUCUCUCCACUGGACAUCGAGUCUCUUUUUGUUGUGUAUAGACGAACCUAAUAUGAAUUAUUAAGAUACAUGUGUAGACAAUGUAUAUACACCUGUUUGGUAUGCCAGUAUGAAGUGGCAAUGCUUAAUAUUAUUUUGAUUCUAAGUUAUGAUAUAUGACUUAGCAGUUUAUGAAGGAAUGAUUAACAUGUCAGAUUAAUAGGCUUGCUUGGGAUUAGUGGACUACGUCCAUUGGGCCCAUGCGCCGAUCAUGGCUCGAAAUUUGGGUCGUGACAAAAACAAUGGCACAAAAAAUUUGAUGAAAUUGUUUUAGCUAAUGGCUACAGCAUAAAUGAAUCUGACAAGUGCAUAUAUAUCAAAUUCCAAAAUGGUAAAGAUGUUAUAAUUUGCUUAUAUAUGGAUGAUAUGCUAAGUUUUGGUACAGAUUUGGAACAAGUCGAGGAGACAAAGAAGUUUUUGUCAAAAAAACUUUGCAAUGAAAGAUAUGGGCAUAGCAGAUGUCAUUUUAGGAAUUAAAAUAUUCCGAGAUGAAAAUAAUAUAACUUUAUCUCAAUCGCACUACAUUGAAAAAGUGCUUGAAAAGUUUAAUCUUAUUAAUUGUAUACCAUCAUCUACGCCAAUGGAUCCUCAAAUUAAAUUAGUACCUAAUGCUGGUAGGGCUGUUGAUCAAUUACAAUAUGCAAGAAUAAUUGGUUGCUUGAUAUAUGCAAUGACAUGUACAAGGCCAAAUAUAACAUUUGCUAUUAGAAAGUUAAGUAGAUAUACAAGUAAUCCAGGUACUUUGCAUUGGCAAGCCAUAAAUCGAGUAUUAAGAUAUUUAAAGAAAAUAAUUAAUUAUGGACUUUGCUAUCAUAGAUAUCCAUAAGUACUAGAAGGAUAUUUGGAUGCUAGUUGGAUUACAAGUUUAGAAGAUCAUGCUUCCACAAGUGGAUGAAUCUUCACGCUUGGUGGGGAUGCUAUUUCUUAGGGGUCCAGGAAACAAACAUGUAUAACUGAUUCUACCAUGGCAACCGAUUUUAUUGCAUUAGCUACUGCCACCAAGGAAGUUGAAUGGCUAAGAAAUUUACUCUAUGGUGUGCCUUUAUGGCCUAAACCAAUUUCUCCAAAUUUUAUCCAUUGUAAUAUUGAAGCAACUUUAGUAAAAGUAUAUAGCCAAGUGUAUAAUGGAAAGUCUAGACAUAUUGGAUUAAGACAUAGCUAUGUUCGAUAAUUAAUUUCUGAUGGAGUGAUCACUAUAACUUUUGUGAGGUUUAGUGAAAACUUGACGGAUCCUUUAACAAAAAAUCUUGCUAGAGAUCUUGUAAAUAAGACCUCAAAAGGGAUGAGGCUCAAGCUCAUAAAUUGAAAGUUACCAAUGGUGGAAACUCGACUCAACGCUUGGUAUAACGUUAAGUCUUGAGUUCAAUGAGAUAAAGUCCAUCAUUUGUAUGUGGCUGCUAGCACUAUAAUAUAAUAUAUUCCAUCCUAACUGAAGUGCUAGGUACCCGUAAUGGUAAGGAAAGGAUGAGUUAUAUAGCUUAAUAGACCUAUAACAUAAUUUGUUAAAAUGCUUUAGCUACGGGGGCAUUCAUGGGAUCUACCUAUGUGAGUGUGAAGUGUGGCCGUUUCUAGAAGUUCAAGAGCUUGGCUCUAACAACACUCAUGAAAAGAAGAUAUAGACGCAUGGCCAUAAAAGCGUCACCAGAAACUAUGCAUUCAUUGGUGUUGAAAUCGUUGUAUGAGAUGUAUUCGGUUAACCAAAUGGAAUAACUGGUUCAAAGUAUUGUCUACCAUGCAAUUUCAGUUAACUUUAAUAUGUUUUCACUAAGUGAAGGUUCAAUUGGAAGACACCUUCAUUUAUGCAAUUGAUUUACAAGAUUAUCGAAAAUUUGAAUUAAUUUGAAAAUGGUGAGGGAUUGUUAGAUAUUUUCAAAUAAAAGAUAUGAUUUCACAUCUUAAUAGAAGGAAACAUUGUGACUAUUGGAAAUUAAAUUAAAAGAAGGGUUAUGUCUGUUGAAAAUAAAAAUAAAAAAAAUAAAAUAAAAGAGAGAAUAAGAAAAAGAGUUACGUCUGUUGAAAAAGACCAACAGGAGCAAUUCUUUGAAAUAGACACAAAUAGUGUCUGUUGGGAACAAACAUUUAUGCCUAUAAAAGAGACUCUCUUUAUCCAACAGAAUGUACAUCAGAAAAACAAAAACUUUCCUUCUUUGCUCAAAUUCUGAAGUUUUCUUCUAUACUAUCUUUUUGUAGAAAAAUACUAUUGAAGUUUGAUAAUCUUAUUAUACUCUAGUGAGUGCGCAGUGGAUUGAUUUUGUCAGUGGAUUGAUUUUGUCAGUGCAAAACAUCAUCAAUCAUUGAGUUUCAUUGUAUUUUCGAGAUUUAUACGUCGGUAACUCUUUUGCACACUACUAGUGGGGGCGAAUAAAACUUUAAAGAUAAUGAUAUUGAUACGCACUUUGAAACCAAUUUCUAAAUUUUCAGUUUGGUGUUCUAACAUGCUUCACUAUUGUUGUAGUGUGACAGCUACCUAUUGCCAUGCCUAUGACAGCUAUGCACCUAAUGGAUGACUGAUAUGAUAUUUAGACUCUGAUGGAGUGUAGUAAUGUCAAUGCUAUGAUCAAAACCUUACCUUUGAAUCCAUGUAAUAUAUAUUUUAGAAAAGUUAAUGAAUAUCUCACUGGGAUGGACUUUGUUUUCUCUGGUUUUUUGCUCUUUCUUCUCUUCUUUUCUACUUUGUUCUCAUUUUAUGACUGCUUGUUCAUCUGAUAUGCAAUGCUGAGUUUCAUUCAAGUCACAAAACAAUAGUUUAAACCUAUAAUUAAAAAAAAAAAAAGCUGGAUUUCCUUUUUUUUUUUUUUAACACAUUUGCCCUUUUUCCUCUUUGUUUGAGGACGUCAUCUGCGGGUGGUGGUUAUUAAUGAAAACACAGACAAGACUAGCAACUCACUAAGUAACAACAAAAGAAGGUGUAAUUUUUUUUUUAAGAGCAAAGAAAGCAUAAUUUAAGCCGCUCUCAAAUUAAAAGACACUAAGAGCCUGUUUGGUUUGAUUUCUUUUUAACUUAAAAGCUAUUAUGAAGGUUUUAUGAAAAAUAAUAGUUUUUAAAAUAAAAUUAAUACUGCUUGAUAAAUUUACUUUUAUAAGUUUUUUUUUUAUAAGUUAUAAUUUUUUGUUAAAAUUAUCAUAGAAGGUAUUUUUUUUGAAAGGGUAAUAUUAUAAUUAUUUUUAAUAAAUGAAGAUAUUUUUGAAACAAAAAUAAAAAUUCUUCUGUAUUUUUAAAAGAAGAGAAGAAAAAGCUUCCCCUUAGAGCUUUUUUUAAAAAUUUUAUUUAUAAAAAAAAUUAUUUUUUUUUAAGAGUUUAUUAAAAAAUCAUGUUUAGCUUGACUUUUACUUUUAAGAGGUAAAUAAACUGAAAAAAAACUAAACUAAACAUGCACUUAGAAGAGCGAAGAAUCAGGGAGGAAUCUCAGUCACUUUGGGUCAAUGAAAGAAUUGGAAUUCAAAGAAGAAAAAAUUAUUGGAAUUCAAAGAAGAAAACAUUCUCUUUCCUAUUUGGACGGUGAAAAACUGAGAGAGAAGGUGAAAGAAAAGUAAAAAAAGAAACCCAAAGGUUGAAAUAUUUUUUUAAUUAAAUAAAUAAAUUACAAAAAGAUUAAAAUAAAGGCUAUUAUUAUUAUCUAUUUACAAAAAAUUAAUUGAAAUUUUUAAUAUAAUUACCUAUUUGGAAAUAGAACUAAAAUACAAAGUUUCAUUUAGAAAAAAAAAAAAACUUCAGAGUAUUAUGUGAGAAAAGGGGUAUAUGUGAAAUUUACUCUAAAGAUAUUAUGCUUUAAUCUUCAUCAAAUGAAACUGAAAUUUCUAAAUCCAGCAAGCUCUCUUAUUGCCCGAGAGAUUUGUCAAUUGUGCUUGUAUGUGUCUUCAUAAGAAAAAUGGCUUUGCUAAUAGCCAAUAGGAAUUGAAAGAUCUCAUGAAAAAGAAAUCAAAUUUGAAAUGCAUUUCUGUGAAUAUUUUAUGAAAUGGAGAAGAAAAAGAAAAAAAAAACUGCUACUUUGUUGAAGAAACAAUAUCCUUUAAGCACGUUUGGUUUGCGGAAUAAAAUAAGUAUUCUAUGAUAAUAUAAUAGAAAUAUUAUUAUAUAGUUUGGUUGACGAAUGAAAUAAUGUAAAAAUUGCUAUUAUAACUUAUUAAAAUGUUUGGUUGGUAAAAAUAAUUUUAGAAUAAUAAAAGGAUAGAUGAUAAAAAGAAUAAAAAUAUUUUUUAUUAUAAUAUAUGAUUAUCUAUUUUUAUUUUAUUUUAUUUUUAUAAAAUUAAAAAUUUAUAAUUUAUUUAAAAUAUUAAUAAUAGAUAAUUUAAAUAUUAUUAUUUUUUAUGAUUUAAUGAUUAACAUUUAAAUAAUUAAUAUUUUAUUUAUAAUAUAAAUAUUAUUAUGAUUAAAAUAUUAAUCAUUUUAAUUAAUUUUUUAAAUUUAAAAUAUUAAUUUUUAUAAUAUAUAAUUAAAAACUUAAACAGUUUAUUAUAAUAUAUGAUUAUAUAUUUUUAUUUUAUUUUUUAAAAAAUAUUAAUAAUUUAUAAUUUAAUUAUUAAAAAUUUUUAACUAUUAAUAUUUUAUUUAUAAUUUAAAUAUUAUAAUGAUUAAAAUAUUAAUAAUUUUAAUUAUUUUUAAAUUUAAAAUAUUAAUUUUUAAUAAUAUAUAAUUAAAAACUUAAACUUUUAAUUAUAAUAUAUGAUUAUCUAUUUUGUUUUAUUUUGUUUUUUACAUAUUAAUAAUUGAUAAUUUAAAUAUUAUUAUGAUUAAAAUAUUAAUAAGUUUAAUUAAUUUUUAAAUUUAAAAUAUUAAUUUUUAUAAUAUAAUUAAAAACUUCAAGUUUUUAUUUUAAAUUCUUUUUUUUUCAUUUCACUAAUAAGGAGUAUUAGUGUCUUGUUAAUUUUAGAAACUAUUCCCCCAUCUAUGGAGUAGCAAAUACCAUAAGAGUUUGAAUUAAAUAUUCAUAAGGAAAUGAUUUAGCUAUUUCCCAACCAAACUUACUGUUAAUGUAUAACUUUAUGCUAACAUUUUGUUAUGAAACCUAAAAAACAACAAAGAUAAAAUAUAGAGAAAUCAAGCAAAAUAAAAAACACCAGAAUUUACAUAAUUCAACUUCUUGUAGAGAUGUCAAUGGAUAAAGUACUCUUUAAUUUUGAGUUACAUGAAUCCAAACCCGAUUAGUAAAUGGGAUACCUAAACCCUAUAAUUACUUGAAUAUUUUUAAAAUUUACUAUCCUAAUCCGAACCCUAAUACAUACCCACUACCCAAUAAGUACCCGAAUCCGUUUAAAAAUCCGAUUAUAUACAAAAAUUAUUAAAAUGCUCUUCAUGGGUACUUAAUUAUCCAAAUCGAAAUCUGUACCCGUAUUUAUAUAUAAUAAUAUUUCUAUCCAUAUUCUAUAUAGUUCACUAAUAAUAAAAUUUAUAAGAGCNAGGAUAUGGGAGGUAAUAACAUGGGAAGCCUUGGGGGAAGAGUUUAAGAAGGUGAGCUUUGUAGCAGCACCGUUUGUGGUAGUGGCAUUGUCACGGUAAUAAGGAUUUAUUACUCAUAGUUUGAUCCAACUAAUAAGGAUUUAUACUCCUAUUUAUUUAAAGAACACUGCUACUAGCUAGAAGGACAUAAAGAGUGAAAAGAAUGGACGAGGCACUGUUUCCUAAGAAAGAAGGGAGGAUAUGGGAGAUAAUAACAUGGGAAGCCUUGGGGAAAGAGUUUAAGAAGGUGAGCUUUGUAGUAGCACCGUUUGUGGCAGUGGCAUUGUCACGGUAAUAAGGAUUUAUUACUCAUAGUUUUAUCCAACUAAUAAGGAUUUAUACUCCUAUUUAUUUAAAGAACACUGCUACUAGCUAGAAAGACAUAAAGAGUGAAAAGAAUGGACGAGGCGCUGUUUCCAAAGAAAGAAGGGAGGAUAUGGGAGAUAAUAACAUGGGAAGCCUUGGGGGAAGAGUUUAAGAAGGUGAGCUUUGUAGCAGCACCGUUUGUGGCAGUGGCAUUGUCAUGGUAUUAAGGAUUUAUUACUCAUAGUUUGAUCCAACUAAUAAGGAUUUAUACUCCUAUUUAUUUAAAGAACACUGCUACUAGCUAGAAGGACAUAAAGAGUGAAAAGAAUGGACGAGGCGCUGUUUCUUAAGAAAGAAGGGAGGAUAUGGGAGAUAAUAACAUGGGAAGCCUUGGGGAAAGAGUUUAAGAAGGUGAGCUUUGUAGCAGCACCGUUUGUGGCAGUGGCAUUGUCACGGUUAUAAGGAUUUAUUACUCAUAGUUUGAUCCAACUAAUAAGGAUUUAUACUCCUAUUUAUUUAAAGAACACUGCUACUAGCUAGAAAGACAUAAAGAGUGAAAAGAAUGGACAAGGCGCUGUUUCCUAAGAAAGAAGGGAGUAUAUGGGAGAUAAUAACAUGGGAAGCCUUGGGGGAUGAGUUUAAGAAGGUGAGCUUUGUAGCAGCACCGUUUGUGGCAGUGGCAUUGUCACGGUAAUAAGGAUUUAUUACUCAUAGUUUGAUCCAACUAAUAAGGAUUUAUACUCCUAUUUAUUUAAAGAACACUGCUACUAGCUAAAAGAACAUAAAAAGUGAAAAGAAUGGACGAGACGCUGCUUCCAAAGAAAGAAGGGAGGAUAUGGGAGAUAAUAACAUGGGAAGCCUUGGGGAAAGAGUUUAAGAAGGUGAGCUUUGUAGCAGCACCGUUUGUGGCAGUGGCAUUGUCACGGUAAUAAGGAUUUAUUACUCAUAGUUUGAUCCAACUAAUAAGGAUUUAUACUCCUAUUUAUUUAAAGAACACUCUUUCUUUGUUUUUUCUAAUGUGAAAUUGUAUCCCACACUUAUUAUAUUGUUGAAAAUGUCCAACAUUAUCUUCUCCACAUAUUAUUGCAUUUACUCUAUUUAAUAUUUCUUGUGUAUGAAAUUAAAUAUUUACAUUUUUAUGGAUUAUUAAAAAAAUAUCUACUUUCUAAAUAUAAUUUUUUUAAUGAUGCUAUUUAUUGAAAAUUAAUUUUAUAUGGGUCUCUAGUUUUUAUGAAACUUGAAGAGGAAAAGUUGUAAAAUAAGAAACAAAAUGCCUCAUUUUAAAGUUUUGUGUCAUUUAAAACUAGACACUCAAUUUAUGAAAAGAAUUAUAUUUUGAUGUUAUCUGUAUGUUACAUGGGAGAACAAACUAUUCAUGGUUUGUCAAGGAUGAUAUUUGUAUUAAUUGAAAGUACAACAUUUAGCAUUGGUUUGAGGAUGCUAAAACGGUUCUUGAGGUAGAUUAUAUAGGAACUACAACUCUACAAGGAGAUAGUAAUUUGCAUAAAUUGGUGCAAGAGCAAGACCUUUGCCGUUAGAUAUUUGACAACUCUUCCAAAUUGCAGCAUCCUUGCAUUGGAUGUGCAUAAAAUUCAAAGGGAACUUGAUUUUACUAAUUAUAUGUGAUGAUAAAAAUGGGUUGGUGAGGGUAGGGGGAUAGGAUAUAUAUCAGUGGGAUGAUCAUGUUGAAAACUCAUAGAUGAACGCCACACAAAACACAGUGUGCCUAGUUAAGCCAAAUAGGGCAUUAAUGGAUAAUUAUUUAGGAAGCCUACAAUAAAAAUGUUUUAGGAGGCAAACUAAGGGUGCAUUUGGUGCAAUGAAUUAGGAAGAGAAUUACUAUUUUUAUUGUAAUAUUAUUUUUUAAAGUUUAAUAAUAAAAUAUUAUUAUAUUUGAGUAUUUGAUUUAUUAAUUAAUGCAUUAUUUUCUUUUUAAAAAGAAUAAGGUUCGAAUUUUUUUCUUUUAAAUAUAAUAAAAUACUAUUUUUUAUUUUUAUAAAAAAAUAAAUUAAUAAAAAAUUACUUGAAUAGAUUUGAGUCUUUUCCCUUUUUCACAGUUUAAUCCGAAAAUUGGAACGAGCUAAAUAUUUGUAUCUAUUAUUAUUUAAAUGAAAAUGAAAUAAAUACGUUAGAAAACGACUGAAACGUACUUUGAUAUUUUGUUUUCCACAACCCAACCCUCUAUGUGUAGUAGCAGUAGGUCCAUGCCAUUAAUUUCUGAUGGACUAAAUUGUUUUUAACACCAAAACAAACGCGGCAAUCGCAGAAGAAUGCAUCAUUUGAAAAAUAAAAUUGAUAUCACUUUGAUCAAAUAUGAAGUAUUUUGACGUUGUUCUUGUUUAAUAUUUUUUGAAUUUGAAAUCUUAUUUUUUAAGUAAAGAAUUGUACAUUAAUUAAUAAAUUAGAUAUAUAUAUAUAUUUAUUUAUUUUUAAAGUCGGAUGGAUUUCAUUAAUAAAAAAGUGAGCAAAAGACUAACCAUCGAGGUAGGUGUCUCAAGCAUCGUCUCUGUCGGUGCCUAGGAGCAGAAACCAAACCUCUACAAAAGACAGACCUAGUUGCCUGUGAGAUAAACAUGAAAAACACCCUAAUCACACAGCAAACAGCUCACCACAAAACAAAUACCUGAACACCUAUACAACAUAACACCUAUGCGUUUGAUCCACUUAACCUCUCAACCAUCACAGCAUUAAUCAAUGAAUCAGAUACCUGGAUACGUUGUUCCUGUUUAUCUUGACCAUGUAACAGCAAUGAUUUUGAAAAGUCUAAGGAAAGUGGGAAGGGAAUUCCACAAGUAAACACCGCGUGAAGGCUUGGACCCAAACUAGGAAGGACAACUUUGGACAACUUAUUACUAACCACUCUUAAUUUCUUGGACUUUUCUUUUUUUUUUCUUUGUUUUUUAAUCGGACGUUUAAAAUUUACUCGAACAUAGUCAACAUUUGAUUAUUGAUUGAUACAUCAUAUUUUUUAAAAUUUAUUACUAAUUUUUAAAAUUUAAGAAUCUACCGUAUGAAUUUAUAAUAUUCAAUAAAUGUCUGAAACAUGUAUACUAAGAUCAAACGAAAAGCACUGCUUCCAUUCAUCAUCUGUUUGAUGGAUGGAAUGAUUCUACUUAAACCUUUUCUUUUCCCUUAUAAGUGAAAGCAACAUUGUGUUGUUUUAACAUAAAGAAGUCAUUAAAGCUAAGCAGCUAUGCAUCAUGAACAACGUUUAAUGCACAGCUAAAAGAAAAAUAAGAAACAGAGCAAGUAUGCAGUAAAGAAGAAAGAAGAAAAGUAAUCUGCAAUAAUAGCAAACUGGGCUAUAUUCUUCAUUCAUCCUUGAAAUAUAUAUGGAAACAAGUUAAUUUCAUGGAGUUUGUAUGCUACGAUACUCAGCUAACACCAAAGCAGCUUACCCAUACAUAUCUGACAUUAAGCCAAAACGUCAAACUACAAAACAGUGAGCUAUGGCUGUAUUCUUAUGACUUUAGUUGCUUGGUCUUCAGAGAAAGCCUUAUGGCACGUUUGAUUCGUGGAAUAGAUAAGAAUGGAAUAGAAUAGUUAUUACGUGGGAAUAGAAUGAGGUGGGAAUAGAAUAGAAUAAGUAUUAUGUAGUUUGGUAUGAUGAAUGGAAUAGAGUAUGAAUAAUUAUUAUGACUUAUUACAAUAUUUGGUUGGUAACAAUAGCUUUAGAAUAGGAAAGGAAUAGAAAAUAAAAAGAUAAAAAUACCAUUUAUUAUAUUUAAUUAUUUUUUAUUUUUUUUAAAUAUUAAUAAUUUAUAAUUAAUUAAAAUAUUAAUAAUUAAUAAUUAAUAUAUCAAUAUUUUAAUAUAAUUUAAUUACUAAUAUUUNNNNNNNNNNNNNNNNNNNNNNNNNNNNNNNNNNNNNNNNNNNNNNNNNNNNNNNNNNNNNNNNNNNNNNNNNNNNNNNNNNNNNNNNNNNNNNNNNNNNNNNNNNNNNNNNNNNNNNNNNNNNNNNNNNNNNNNNNNNNNNNNNNNNNNNNNNNNNNNNNNNNNNNNNNNNNNNNNNNNNNNNNNNNNNNNNNNNNNNNNNNNNNNNNNNNNNNNNNNNNNNNNNNNNNNNNNNNNNNNNNNNNNNNNNNNNNNNNNNNNNNNNNNNNNUUUUAUUUUUCCUUUUUUCUUUUUCUUUUCAUGGGCCGGUCGUCGAAAAGGCGACCGAUGUAACAAAACGCCGAUCUGGCGCACCAUGUGGCCAGAUCUGGCCACUACGGCGCCAGAUCGGCGCUUCCCCGCGGCUAGAUCUGGCUGUGGAGUGCCAGAUCCAACCGUGGGAUCUGGUCGGGAAGCACCAGAUCCGGUGCUUCCCGCUGCCAGAUCUGGCCGUUGAGUGCCAGAUCUAGCUAAAUCUCCGGCGUAACCUAGUCCUACCAUAUUCGGUAAUAAAAUCGUCGUCACAGCCGCUUCCGUCACAGUCGCCGUCGCUUUCGCUGUCGUCGCUGCCGCCACUAACAUCAUCUCCGGCGUUGAUGCCACUUAGAGAGAGAAUAAGAGAGGAAAGAAAAUGAGAAGAGAGAGAAAGAAAAAGGGAAAAUGAGAAAAAAAUAUAUAUGUAGGUCUAGGAUUGUAAUAUUUUUAAAUAAUAAGGGGUAUUUUAGUCAUAUCAUAAUUCAGAGCUAUUCUCAUGGUCACGGAAUAGCAGAAAUCAUGAGGAACCUCGGGUUUAACUAUGCCUGAGUUUUACCCGUUUUGAGAGAAUAACUAUUACUAAGUAAUAGCUAUUCUUUGUGAUAUUGCCAUACCAAACGGAGGUAAGCUAUUCCCUUGGGAAUAGACAGGGAAUAGCUUAGCUAUUUCCUGUACCAAACGUGCAGUUACUUCAAUACAUUAUGCACUGACCAUUGACAAGUAAGCAAUUGGCUCUGGACUACUUAACGUGUGAAUCAAUUCAUGUAGUUCCUUUCUACCUACAUUGCAUUAACCCUUGUACUCGUCCUUCCCGCGUGGUUCGGAACUGGAAGAUUAAAAAGCUUCCUAUUUGUUACAAGGGUGGUCCAGAAUUUGGUAUUUUCCCUCUUGAUUAAUUUUCCUGCAUUUCCAUCGUUAGUUAUUCGCAAGGUUUACAGAUCUAGUGUUAAUCUAUCUUCAGUUCUCAGUUCUCAGUUCUAGUGUUGUGAAAAUUUACAGAUCUCGUAUUAAUCCAUUUUCAGUUCUCAGUUCUUUGUUCUAGUGUUUGUGAAAAUUUUGGGGAGUGGAGAUGGCAGAUGCUCUUCUUUCAGCCGUUCUAAACACCAUCUUGGAGAACAUAAACUCCCUGUGGCUUGAAGAGUUUGGGAUCACAGGGGGAUUGAAAACCGAGCUUGAGAGUCUGCAGAGCACCUUAAGUACGAUCCAAGCGGUACUUCUUGAUGCAGAGGAGAAGCAGUGGAAGAGUGAGGCUAUCAAGAAUUGGCUGGGAAAACUCAAAGAUACGGCUUAUCAUCUAGAUGAUAUACUAGAUGAGUUUGCAACAAACACUCAAAAAGAAAGGCUGCAGAGAGAUGCUAGAAGCCAGGUAUGCACCUUCCAUUACCUUCCUAAACAGCUUUUAUUUCGCUCAAAGAUGGCGCAUAAGUUGAAGGAUGUUAGAGAAAAAUUGGAUGCAGUUGCUGGGGAGAGAUCCAAGUUCCAUUUGAGAGAAGGGAUGGAGCCCUUGGAGGACAGAGAAGUGAGUGAUACAGAGUGGAGAAAAACUAGCUCACUUGUAAAUGAAUUAGAGGUGUAUGGAAGAGAUAAGGAGCUGGAUAGAAUAAUCAAUAUGCUGUUGAACAAUUUAGCAGAUCAGGAUGGGAUUUCUGUUUACACUAUAUGUGGCAUGGGAGGACUCGGAAAGACAACACUUGCUCAAUUGGUUUAUAAUGAUGAAAGCAUAAGAAAGGCUUUUGAUUUGAGAAUUUGGGUAUGUGUAUCCGAUGAUUUUGAUAUUACAAGAUUAACAAAAGCCAUUAUAGAGUCCAUUGAAGGAAAGUGCAGUAUAGAAGAACUAGAUCCCCUGCUAAGACACCUACAAGAAAAACUAAUUGGGAAAAGGUUUUUGCUUGUAUUGGAUGAUGUGUGGAAUGAAUAUCACGAAAAGUGGGAAGGAUUGAAGGAAGCAUUUAGAUGCGGUGCGAAAGGAAGCACAGUUAUAGUCACUACCCGUAUCGAGAA
RNAcentral lists this long non-coding RNA (22658 nucleotides) under Theobroma cacao (cacao). RNAcentral describes it as "long non-coding RNA (TCAC_LNC002640)". Lineage: Eukaryota; Viridiplantae; Streptophyta; Magnoliopsida; Malvales; Malvaceae. The record is from RNAcentral.